GCAAAAAUACCUAGCAUUUUCUCAUGAUUUUCGUUAUACCCAUUAAUGUUAGAACUAGAAAACCAUAUAAAUUGCUAUGAUUCUUCCUAGGUCCGAAAUAGGGUUUAUGUUUGGGAUUUCAAGAGAGAUUUUGGUAUCAUUUUGAACUUAAGUAUAUUUGUGUAGCUCUAUGAUUCAUUGAUUAAUUUGAUUUGGAUAACAUUGUUUACUCAAGUUUUAUUGAUCUUAGUCCUACUGCUGAGAUGGUUGUUGUGAUACGUUGAUGGCCGAUUGGGUGAUUGAUAUCAAAUUGUUGAGGUAUUUUAGUGAUUUUUCAUCCGCGGUGUUUUCUCAUGAUUUCGUUAUACCCAUUAAUGUUAGAACUAGAAAACCAUAUAAAUUGCUAUGAUUCUUUAGGUCCGAAAUUAGGUUUAUGUUUGGGAUUUGGGGCUUUUGCCAUGUUGUACGGUUGAUGGCCGAUUGGGUGAUUGAUAUCAAAUUGUUGAGGUAUUUUAGUGAUUUUUCAUGUGAAUGAUUAUUUACUAAAUGUGUGUUUUGUGGAUAUCUCGUCUUCUUCUCCUCUGCUCCUCCUCUUGUAGCAGAUUCACAGUUCCUGUCAUCACUUGCCUUCAUGCCAACAGCUAGAGAUGUUUGUCAUUUUGAACUUAAGUAUAUUUGUGUACUCUAUGAUUCAUUGAUUAAUUUGAUUUGGAUAACAUUUUGGUUAGCUCAAGUUUAUUGAUCUUAGUCCUACUGCUGAGAUUGUGUGAUUUGUCCUCGCCAGGUUUGUAAGACCAUAGAUUGGUGUUUCUCAUUUGUUGCUUGUUAUAUGAAUAUGUAGUCUUGUGCUGAGAUCCUCGUUGUAGAGCUGGUGCAGGAGCAUCCUACUAUGGCCUUGGGGGUUUUGUAGCAGCUGGUGCAGGAGCAUCCUUCUCCGGCCUUGGGGGUAAUAAUAUUGUUAGCCUCUGAAUGAAAGACCGUGAGUUUGAGAGAGAUGCAGAAAAUUAUGAAGAAGAAAAUAGGUUUUCGGCCAUGGUUGUUGUGAGGUAAAAUCUCUAGCUUCCCUUGUUUUCGUUUUACCCAUUGAUUAUAAAGCACGAAAAUCGUAUUAAUUGCUAUAUAUGUGUUGGUCCGAAAUCUAGGGUUCAUGUUAGAGUUUUAGUUAUACCUAGCAUUUUCGCCCAUGGGUUGUUGGAGGUAAAAUACCUAGCAUUUUCUCAUGAUUUCGUUAUACCCAUUAAUGUUAGAACUAGAAAACCAUAUAAAUUGCUAUGAUUCUUCCUAGGUCGAAAUUAGGGUUUAUGUUUGGGAUUUGGGGCUUUUGCCAUGUUGUACGGUUGAUGGCCGAUUGGGUGAUUGAUUCAAAUUGUUGAGGUAUUUUAGUGAUUUUUCAUGUGAAUUGAUUAUUUACUAAAUGUGUGUUUUGUGGAUAUCUCGUCUUCUUCUCUGCUCCUCUCUCUUGUAGCAGAUUCACAGUUCCUGUCAUCACUUGCUUCAUGCCAACAGCUAGAUGCCUCGCCAGGUUUUGUAGCAGCUGGUGCAGGAGCAUCCUACUAUGGCCUUGGGGGUUUAGAAGAUGUGAUGGCAGCUGGUGCAGGAGCAUCCUACUAUGGCCUUGGGGGUUUUGUAGCAGCUGGUGCAGGAGCAUCCUUCUCCGGCCUUGGGGGUAAUAAUAUUGUUAGCCUCUUUUGGAUUUACUCACAUAUCAUUAUUUUGUUCAUUUUUAGUUUAAAUUGAGUUAUCUAUAAAGACCAUAGAUUGGUGUUUCUCAUUUGUUGCUUGUUAUAUGAAUAUGUCUUGUUGCUGAGAUUUUGGUAUCAUUUUGAACUUAAGUAUAUUUGUGUAGCCUAUGAUUCAUUGAUGGGUUUUGUAGCAGCUGGUGCAGGAGCAUCCUAAUUUGAUUUGGAUAACAUUUGGUUUAGCUCAAGUUUUAUUGAUCUUAGUCCUACUGCUGGAUUUGUGUAUGUCCUCGCCAGGUUUUGUAGCAGCUGGUGCAGGAGCAUCCUACUAUGGCCUUGGUUCUCCGGCCUUGGGGGUAAUAAUAUUGUUAGCCUCUGCUCGUUUUGAACUUUAGUAUA
RNAcentral lists this long non-coding RNA (2057 nucleotides) under Betula platyphylla (Asian white birch). Lineage: Eukaryota; Viridiplantae; Streptophyta; Magnoliopsida; Fagales; Betulaceae. The record is from RNAcentral.